Molecule: ribosomal RNA, 402 nt
Filed under: uncultured bacterium
Lineage: Bacteria
Description: bacterial SSU rRNA
Rfam family: Bacterial small subunit ribosomal RNA
Source: RNAcentral
GACGAACGCUGGCGGCGUGCUUAACACAUGCAAGUCGAGCGGUAAGGCCCUUUCGGGGGUACACGAGCGGCGAACGGGUGAGUAACACGUGGGUGACCUGCCCUCAGCUCUGGGAUAAGCCUGGGAAACCGGGUCUAAUACUGGAUAUGACUCCAUGACGCAUGUUGUGGGGUGAAAGCCUUGUGCGGCUGAGGGAUGGGGCCCCGCGGCCUAUCAGCUUGUUGGUGGGGUGANGGCCUACCAAGGCGACGACGGGUAGCCGGCCUGAGAGGGCGACCGGCCACACUGGGACUGAGACACGGCCCAGACUCCUACGGGAGGCAGCAGUGGGGAAUCUUGCGCAAUGGGCGAAAGCCUGACGCAGCGACGCCGCGUGAGGGAUGACGGCCUCGGUUGUAACGU